GUUGCUGUGGUGUAGUUGUUAUCACGUCAGUCUUACACACUGAAGGUCUCCAGUUCGAUCCUGGGCAGCAACA
RNAcentral lists this transfer RNA (73 nucleotides) under Oryza brachyantha (malo sina). It matches the Rfam family "tRNA". From Rfam's summary of the family: Transfer RNA (tRNA) molecules are approximately 80 nucleotides in length. Their secondary structure includes four short double-helical elements and three loops (D, anti-codon, and T loops). Lineage: Eukaryota; Viridiplantae; Streptophyta; Magnoliopsida; Poales; Poaceae. The record is from Rfam by way of RNAcentral.